CGCCUUGAACUUAGGACCGACUAACUCGUGAUCAACCACUGUUCACACGAAACCCUUCUCCACUUCAGUCCUCCAAGGUCUCAUUCGAUUAUUUGCUACUACCACCAAGAUCUGUGCCAAUGGCAGCUCCAUGCAGGCUUACGCCAAACACUUCUACGCUUACCAUUGUACCUUCCUACUCACUAAAGUUUCAAAAUUUAUAUCACAAGUAAUAUAAAUCAUCUACUUUAGNACACAACAGUAUAUGUCAUGCUCUUCUAGCCCAUCUACCAUAUCUCUCUGCGAAAGACUUCCAUGGUAGUACGGCUAUAAAACAGAAAAGAAAACUCUUCCGAUAUCUCUCGACGGCUUCUUUAUGGUCGUUCCUGUUGCCAGGAUGAGCACGAGGCCCAUAUUUAAUAACAAACGGAUACUCAACAGGUUACGGAAUUAGAACCGUAUUCCCUUUCGUUCAAAAUUAUUCAAGUGUUUCAAAAAAAUCAUUAAAGAUUUGACAAUAUAUGCUUAUUGAUUUUUUACUUGAAAAUUUUCGGCUUUCGCCUUGAACUUAGGACCGACUAACUCGUGAUCAACCACUGUUCACACGAAACCCUUCUCCACUUCAGUCCUUCAAGGUCUCAUUCGAUUAUUUGCUACUACCACCAAGAUCUGUGCCAAUGGCAGCUCCAUGCAGGCUUACGCCAAACACUUCUACGCUUACCAUUGUACCUUCCUACUCACUAAAGUUUCAAAAUUUAUAUCACAAGUAAUAUAAAUCAUCUACUUUAGCGGUAAUGUAUAGGUAUACAACUUAAGCGCCAUCCAUUUUANCUCCUUAGCGGAUUUCGACUUCCAUGAUCACCGUCCUGCUGUUUUAAGCAACCAACGCCUUUCAUGGUUUCUGCAUGAGUUGUUAAUUUGGGCACCGUAACAUUACGUUUGGUUCAUCCCACAGCGCCAGUUCUGCUUACCAAAAGUGGCCCACUGGGCACAUUAUAUCAUAACCUUAAACUUCAUAUCAAGAAAGUUAAGGUUCUUACCCAUUUAAAGUUUGAGAAUAGGUUAAGAUCGUUUCGACCCUAAGGCCUCUAAUCAUUCGCUUUACCAGAUAAGAUUAUUUUAUAUAACAUUAAAAUGCACCAGCUAUCCUGAGGGAAACUUCGGAAGGAACCAGCUACUAGAUGGUUCGAUUGGUCUUUCGCCCCUAUACUCAAUUCUGACAAUCGAUUUGCACGUCAGAACUGUUUCGGUCUUCCAUCAGGGUUUCCCCUGACUUCAACCUGAUCAAGUAUAGUUCACCAUCUUUCGGGUCACAGCAUAUAUGCUCAAGGUACGUUCCAGUUAGAGGCAUAAAUAAUAUAAAUAUUAUUAUACAUAACUAUAUAGAACGCCCCGGGAUUGUGUUAAUUAUCUAUAAAUAGUUAAAAAACUAAUCCCAUUAUUAGUCAAGUUA
RNAcentral lists this long non-coding RNA (1432 nucleotides) under Drosophila guanche. Lineage: Eukaryota; Metazoa; Arthropoda; Insecta; Diptera; Drosophilidae. The record is from RNAcentral.